Molecule: long non-coding RNA, 1387 nt
Organism: Triticum aestivum (bread wheat)
Lineage: Eukaryota; Viridiplantae; Streptophyta; Magnoliopsida; Poales; Poaceae
Exons: 3
Source: RefSeq, a predicted model, not a curated record
AGGUGGGAAAAAAAAAUCAAAUCCCCUGCUUCUGUUCUCCUCCCCGCGAGCCAUCCCCAUCUCCUACCGACCCCGCCGCUUCAUCGCCGCCGCGGCCGCCGACGAUGACAUGAACCAGUCGAUGCAGAAGAACACCCUCUACAUAGUUGUCGUCGGUGCAGGUGGGCUCGCGGAGGAGGUGGUCGAGAAGAUCCUGCACUCGGCGUUGGUGUCGUUUGGGGAGGUAAGGACAUCAAGAUGCGGCUAGACCAGGCCACGCAGAAGCACCGCUCCUUCGGCUUCGGCACGUUCCUUGAGCGCGAGGACGCCGCCGCCGCCAUGGACAACAUGAACGGUGCUGAGCUCUUCGGUCGCGUCCUCCCCGUCAACUAGGCCUUCCCGAGAAAAUUAAGGAAGGAGAGCAGGGAUGGGCCGUGCAGCCAGGACGGUGGCGUUGUCUGGCGCCAUGGUGGUGUCGACGGCAGGCCUGGCAAGGUUGGUGCGUCAGUGCAUACUCUGGAGAUGGAUCGGUGGAAGACGGCAGCGAUGGCCUCUACGGUAGGCCUGACAAGGUUGGUGCGUCAGUACAUACUCUGGAGAGUACACUCUGGAGAUGGAUCGGUGGAAGACGACGGUAGCGGCCUCUAAGAGUAUGCCAGACCGGUUUGUGACCCUGUCCCGGUAUUGUGGCUUGGCUGGGGCAUCCGGCUUUAGAUGUUAGACUUUGGUGCGAUGUCUGUUUGGUAAUUCGACUCAGACAUUCAGCAUCCCUUCACCAAUGGGAUAGGAGUAGCGACAGGUUGCCAAGAUGGUGGCUUCAGGCUUACUGAAGUAUUACUUUGUAAGGUCUUUAUGAAUAAUUAAUAAAAUGACUGCAUGCAUCCUUCAGAUGUAGAGGCUGGAGGCAUAUCCUCAUUUUCUAUAAAGAUAAAUAAACAGUGAAAAUUGCUGCGGCAGCUACACCCACACCCAGCCUUAACAGGCUCUCAUCUUCUAUCUCGUUGCACAAGCUAAUAAUGUGCACCGGGUGCUUCAUCUCUUGCAGUGCAGCCACGAGAACAGCCGCGUCAUAGUCGCCCACCACUGUCAGCACACUCUCGUCCCCGUUAGAUGUCAUCGACUUGAUCCCUGACAUCAUUACACACCAUCAGUCGAGAAAAAAGACAUGAAGACAAGAGAUCGGAAAUCACGCGUAUAGUGGAUAGAAAGUCUAGGGAAUACCUUUGAUGUUUGCCACAAUCUGCAUGAUGCAUGAUCUGCAUUUCCCACAGUUGAUAGACACCUUAAUCUGGUUCAGAACAACAAUGGCUAAUCAGUAAAUCACAUAUAUACGGAGUAUAUAGUAUCAUCUUUGUUGAAGGACAGUUGAGUUUCUUUGCACAUGUUUCAUAUACUCCAUCCGUCCCAA